Rhododendron vialii is the source of this 724-nucleotide long non-coding RNA. RefSeq lists it as uncharacterized. Lineage: Eukaryota; Viridiplantae; Streptophyta; Magnoliopsida; Ericales; Ericaceae. The transcript is spliced from 3 exons. The record is from RefSeq and is a predicted model, not a curated record.
ACCGCUCCAAAUGCAAACCCACCCAAACCCCAUUCCGCCCACACCUCCAUCUUCAUUUCCAUCUCCAAACACCCAAAUUCCGCUGUACUUACCCGGAUCGCCAGAGUUUCCGCCCCCGGACGACCUCCUGCAAUUCAAACACCCACUAUACCUCCAUACCGCCUGACAUUCGGCAGCUGAAAAGAAUUAACCCGUAAUGUGUGCUGGGUAGGAGAAAGCGGAAAAGGUAGUGAUAGGAAAGCAAAUUGUAGUGGAGGUCUAUAUUUCUUCUUUUUGGGCUCUAGACAUGAGGAAAAAAACAUGAACAGCGAUGUACAAGAAUUGGAGGAUACAACAAUUAGCCUAUUCGGUGGUAACUGAUGUGCUAAAAGAAAUAUGAGAAGAUUGGAUGGAAAGCAAUCAAGCGACCCAGUGUGAAAAUUGAUGGAAAACGACUACAAUUCUACCAGUACCUAGGAAGAUGAGAAACUUUUCACAGGGACUGUAUGUAAAGCACUUUCUACUGCUAUGCAGUUAACUAUCAGGGUUCUUGGUGCUGAAAGUAUGUUGUUUAUCCUUAGAAUUUUGUUUCCAAUGUCUUGUAUUCUACAGUAAUGCUAUUGGUAAGGAGUCAUGAGCAGGUCCGACAUUGUAGUCAACUGGGUUCGGUCUCAAGGUGAUGUUUAUAAAUAUGGGAUUUGAUAAGGAAACUUCAUAUGAAUUCCAUAGCUGUUUAUGCUCAAAA